GUGAGGGCCUAGAGAAAGAUAGAUAGAAGAAACCUCAACACCACAAAGCGGACACUGGACUACAGCUCAGACUAAGGACAGAGGACUGCCAGUUUAAAAUGCAAGAGCCGGACGAAUCACUAAUCCAUGCUGCAAAUAAUGGAGCUGAAGUGCCCAAUUCAGGUCACAAUGGACUUUUAAAAAAGCCACUAGGAGAGAGAGGGAGGGAGAGCGAGAGAGAGACAUCAUCAUCGACUGGAAGAGAGGAGACAACUUUUUGCUAUCCACCGUUCCAAUACUCACUAGCAUCAAGGCUGAAGAAGACAACAGACUAUAAAAGCUAAAGCAGCCACCUGUUACAAAGCUUGCUGUGUAACCCUGAUUUGAAUCGUUCAGUUUCUUUGUGGUGGCGGCCUGCGCCACCACCACCUACUC
Molecule: long non-coding RNA, 414 nt
Organism: Polypterus senegalus (gray bichir)
Lineage: Eukaryota; Metazoa; Chordata; Cladistia; Polypteriformes; Polypteridae
Exons: 3
Source: RefSeq, a predicted model, not a curated record